Molecule: ribosomal RNA, 468 nt
Filed under: uncultured bacterium
Lineage: Bacteria
Description: partial 16S ribosomal RNA
Rfam family: Bacterial small subunit ribosomal RNA
Source: RNAcentral
GACGAACGCUGGCGGCGUGCUUAACACAUGCAAGUCGAACGGAAAGGCCCUGCUUUUGUGGGGUGCUCGAGUGGCGAACGGGUGAGUAACACGUGAGUAACCUGCCCUUGACUUUGGGAUAACUUCAGGAAACUGGGGCUAAUACCGGCUAGGAGCUCCUGCUGUUUGGUGGGGGUUGGAAAGUUUCGGCGGUUGGGGAUGGACUCGCGGCUUAUCAGCUUGUUGGUGGGGUAGUGGCUUACCAAGGCUUUGACGGGUAGCCGGCCUGAGAGGGUGACCGGCCACGUUGGGACUGAGAUACGGCCCAGACUCCUACGGGAGGCAGCAGUGGGGAAUAUUGCACAAUGGGCGGAAGCCUGAUGCAGCAACGCCGCGUGCGGGAUGACGGCCUUCGGGUUGUAAACCGAUGUCGCCUGUGACGAAGCGUGAGUGACGGUAAUGGGUAAAGAAGCACCGGCUAACUACGUG